This 484-nucleotide ribosomal RNA is filed under the name uncultured bacterium. RNAcentral describes it as "partial 16S ribosomal RNA". It matches the Rfam family "Bacterial small subunit ribosomal RNA", at positions 30 to 507 of the family's 1533-position model. The record is from RNAcentral.
AUUGAACGCUGGCGGCAGGCCUAACACAUGCAAGUCGAGCGGAUGAAGGGAGCUUGCUCCUGGAUUCAGCGGCGGACGGGUGAGUAAUGCCUAGGAAUCUGCCUGGUAGUGGGGGAUAACGUCCGGAAACGGGCGCUAAUACCGCAUACGUCCUGAGGGAGAAAGUGGGGGAUCUUCGGACCUCACGCUAUCAGAUGAGCCUAGGUCGGAUUAGCUAGUUGGUGGGGUAAAGGACUACCAAGGCGACGAUCCGUAACUGGUCUGAGAGGAUGAUCAGUCACACUGGAACUGAGACACGGUCCAGACUCCUACGGGAGGCAGCAGUGGGGAACAUUGGACAAUGGGCGAAAGCCUGAUCCAGCCAUGCCGCGUGUGUGAAGAAGGUCUUCGGAUUGUAAAGCACUUUAAGUCGGGAGGAAGGGCAGUAAGUUAAUACCUUGCUGUUUUGACGUUACCAACAGAAUAAGCACCGGCUAACUUCGUG